Molecule: long non-coding RNA, 649 nt
Organism: Antechinus flavipes (yellow-footed antechinus)
Lineage: Eukaryota; Metazoa; Chordata; Mammalia; Dasyuromorphia; Dasyuridae
Exons: 2
Source: RefSeq, a predicted model, not a curated record
CAGCCAAGUGCCAGGAGACUAAUGAAGACAGACGGAGAGUGAAAGGGAUAAUAAAAGCCCCAGAAAACUUGGAAGAGGAGAAAGGGAAGCCUUUACGGACCAGUAUGAGGAAAGUAUUUUGUAAACCUUCAAGCUGAUUUUCCUGGUGCCAUAAAGUCCCACCCCGGGAAGCGGAGCAGACACUAAGAAGGCUCCAGGAAAGCGGCUCCCAUUCAGACAAGGCAGAAUGGAUGGUUUUGACAACAGAGGUGCCAUGGAGCUGACUGACUUCCUUGCCUCCCUCCAUCGGUAAAGUUCCCGGCUCUCUGGAAGGUCAUUGAUGGACGGAUAGGUGGCAUCAAAUAUGUAAAUGCCAAGUGUUUCCUCCUGUUAUCGACGUGACAAACUCCAUGGUUGCCUCUCAAGAAAAAUGCCCCUGCCAGGGCUGGUAAUAGAUAGAUGCCAGCCAGCCUUCUUGGGAUGGUGAAACUGACAGCCAAGCAACAGAGAAAUUGAAUGCCACCGGGAAUAUAUGUUGGGACCUUCCCUCAUUUAAUCAAAUAAAAUGCAUUUUAUUAAAAAAAAAAUAUCUACAGGAAGCUUAUCUAUAGCUCCUGCUACUCCCCUUCCCCCAAACCCCAAACAAACAAAUAAACAAAAGAGUUCCUAA